Molecule: non-coding RNA, 1532 nt
Organism: Sus scrofa (pig)
Lineage: Eukaryota; Metazoa; Chordata; Mammalia; Artiodactyla; Suidae
Source: RefSeq, a predicted model, not a curated record
GGUCCAGAGAAUUGGCACAUGCCUCAGGUGUGGCCAAAAAAAAUCUUGACCUCAGUCUGGUGACAUUCUGUGAGGAAGAGUCAGCUAACUCACACCCAGACUCCUGAAGGACCCUCUACCCCAUCUGCUAUCAUUAUAAGACCCCACACAGCUGAGUCCGAGCAGAAUAAGAAGUCAGGGCAGGUGAAUUUGGACCGUAAUUGCUUUGGUCUUACAACUCAUAUGGGCAAGAGGAUUUGAGCUUAGCGUUCACUUUCUUUUGACCUCAGUUUUCUUGCACUUUCAGUGACAAGGGAUCUCUGGACAUGAAUUUGUCCCAGAGACUGCAGUGAAGACUUUACACGCUGACUCGAGGGGACAUACUGUUGGCUUUUAUCAGGGGAGUCUAUAUAAUCUCGUCACCGAGCCUCUGGUAAACCACACUGGAUAACAAAGCUGGACAUAAUUUGAGCCCGCUGCUGAGCCAGUCACUCUAGGAGGAUCCAUAAGAAGCCCUGGCUGAUAUUGGGGUUCCAGAAGGCAGGCCAGGACAGGCCUGAGAGAUCAUUCUCCCCCCAUGGGGAAAGCCCACACCCCGGAUGUCCACAAGCUGCAGAGUUACACUUUAGGGUCCAAAGAACCAAAGCGUGUGAGAAGAAGACGCCUCUCUCCCUCCUGUUUCCUUGGGUCGGGGGUUCUCCACCUUGGCUGCCCAUGAGAGUCACCUGGGAUCCCAGGCUUGCCAGGUGCAGCAAAUAAAAAUACAAGAUGCCCCAGGGAACUUUGCAUUUCUGAUGAACAACAAAGAACAUUUGUAAUGUGAGUUGUCUCCUGUGAUGUUUGGGACAUACUUGAACUAAAAAACAAAAAUUAUUGGCUGUUUAUCUGAAAUACCAAGUUCACUGGGCAUCCUGUAGUUUGUCUGAUAAACCUGGGAGGCGGGGUUUUUAAAAAGUACCAGUGCCUGAGCCUGUAAAUCCUGGCUUCUCUCCACCCUCAACCCUCCCACCUCUCACGUCUUUGCAGGAAGGAGGAUUGCUUUGUCCCGCUGGUCUCAAGACUACCAACGGACAUUUAUGAGGCCGGUAGUCCCUGCUGUGCACAGCUACCUCUUCUGUUAUCUGAAGACCUAGCAUUGAUAGUGCGCUUGGUACUCCGUGAUGUGAUGGAUGGUGUCUGUGUUCCUACAAAGUAGUGCCUCUGAUGGAGAGAUGGCUUGAUUGGAAUGGCAGCGGUGGAGAGAGUGAGUAGACAGAUUUGAAUGGUGUUUGAUGGAAUAAAUUACUUAGAAGUGCCAGUUCUUCUGAAACUGCAGGGACGGCUGGGGAAGGAGUCUGUCAUUUUCAGCACUGCCGGCAAAGGGAGAGGAUGUGGGUGGGGAGGCUCUUGGGUUUGCAACUGAGUUUACCCCAGAUGAUUAAAUCAAGAUUUGAAAAGCUUCUCUUGGCUCUUACACAGAGCAAGCCUUGCUUGGGAGGUUUCUCGUACUUGAGAGUCAACUUUGGUUGACACCUCAACUUUGGUCUGUUAAAUUCCAAGUGGUUUCAGGCCUC